AUCUACAGCCAUGCUAUCCUGAAUAAACCUGAUCCUGUCUGAUCUCGGAAACUAAGCAGGGUCGGGCCUGGUUAGUACUUGGAUGGGAGACCACCUAGGAAGAUCAGGUGCUGUAGGCA
RNAcentral lists this ribosomal RNA (119 nucleotides) under Pteropus alecto (black flying fox). Lineage: Eukaryota; Metazoa; Chordata; Mammalia; Chiroptera; Pteropodidae. The record is from RNAcentral.